GACAUUUUUGUUGUCUACCGAGGUUUAAGGUGGCAAAUAAACGUCUUUUGCACCCAUUUUUAACCUCACAUGGCUGUGUGUUGGUAGCGGCUACAAGUUGUAAGGAUCCCAUGCUAGACCCCUCUUGGCGUGGACUAGUAUCCUUCUCUCCUAUCAAGACCAAAAGCAUGUUCCUCUUGGGGCAUUCCCUAGCCUGAUGAGGACAAUCA
Molecule: unclassified non-coding RNA, 209 nt
Filed under: Hevea brasiliensis (rubber tree)
Lineage: Eukaryota; Viridiplantae; Streptophyta; Magnoliopsida; Malpighiales; Euphorbiaceae
Source: RNAcentral